Oncorhynchus keta (chum salmon) is the source of this 730-nucleotide long non-coding RNA. RefSeq lists it as uncharacterized. The record is from RefSeq and is a predicted model, not a curated record. The transcript has 3 exons. NCBI's taxonomy places the organism in Eukaryota, Metazoa, Chordata, Actinopteri, Salmoniformes, Salmonidae.
UUCAUUCGUUUAGAGAGAUUCCCCUGAAACACACCUCUACAGGUAGGAGGGGGAUUCAUUCGUUUAGAGAGAUUCCCCUGAAACACACCUCUACAGGUAGGAGGGGGAUUCAUUCGUUUAGAGAGAUUCCCCUGAAACACACCUCUACAGGUAGGAGGGGGAUUCAUUCGUUUAGAGAGAUUCCCCUGAAACACACCUCUACAGGUAGGAGGGGGAUUCAUUCGUUUAGAGAGAUUCCCCUGAAACACACCUCUACAGGUAGGAGGGGGAUUCAUUCGUUUAGAGAGAUUCCCCUGAAACACACCUCUACAGGUAGGAGGGGGAUUCAUUCGUUCAGAGAGAUUCCCCUGAAACACACCUCUACAGGUAGGAGGGGGAUUCAUUCGUUUAGAGAGAUUCCCCUGAAACACACCUCUCUACAGGUAGGAGGGGGAUUCAUUCGUUUAGAGAGAUUCCCCUGAAACACACCUCUCUACAGGUAGGAGGGGGAUUCAUUCGUUCAGAGAGAUUCCCCUGAAACACACCUCUACAGGUAGGAGGGGGAUUCAUUCGUUUAGAGAGAUUCCCCUGAAACACACCUCUACAGGUAGGAGGGGGAUUCAUUCGUUUAGAGAGAUUCCCCUGAAACACACCUCUACAGGUAGGAGGGGGAUUCAUUCGUUUAGAGAGAUUCCCCUGAAACACACCUCUACAGGUAGGAGGGGGAUUCAUUCGUUUAGAGAGAUUCCCC